AAGAAAGUGGCAGAGUGGUUAUGUGGCUGGUUUGAAACCAGUUAAUGGGGGUUCAAUUCCUUCCUUUCUUG
This 71-nucleotide transfer RNA is filed under the name Muraenesox cinereus (daggertooth pike conger). RNAcentral describes it as "tRNA-Ser". It matches the Rfam family "tRNA". From Rfam's summary of the family: Transfer RNA (tRNA) molecules are approximately 80 nucleotides in length. Lineage: Eukaryota; Metazoa; Chordata; Actinopteri; Anguilliformes; Muraenesocidae. The record is from RNAcentral.